This 141-nucleotide ribosomal RNA is filed under the name uncultured bacterium. RNAcentral's name for it is "partial 16S rRNA". It matches the Rfam family "Bacterial small subunit ribosomal RNA", at positions 372 to 507 of the family's 1533-position model. The record is from RNAcentral.
UGGGCGCAGCCUGAUCCAGCAAUGCCGCGUGAGUGAUGAAGGCCUUCGGGUUGUAAAGCUCUUUUGUCAGGGAAGAAACAGCAGCUCUANCNCAGUCUGCGANUGACGGUNCCYGAUNAAUAAGCACCGGCUAAAUACCUG